GAUGAACGCUGGCGGCGUGCCUAAUACAUGCAAGUCGAGCGAACGGACGAGAAGCUUGCUUCUCUGAUGUUAGCGGCGGACGGGUGAGUAACACGUGGAUAACCUACCUAUAAGACUGGGAUAACUUCGGGAAACCGGAGCUAAUACCGGAUAAUAUUUUGAACCGCAUGGUUCAAAAGUGAAAGACGGUCUUGCUGUCACUUAUAGAUGGAUCCGCGCUGCAUUAGCUAGUUGGUAAGGUAACGGCUUACCAAGGCAACGAUGCAUAGCCGACCUGAGAGGGUGAUCGGCCACACUGGAACUGAGACACGGUCCAGACUCCUACGGGAGGCAGCAGUAGGGAAUCUUCCGCAAUGGGCGAAAGCCUGACGGAGCAACGCCGCGUGAGUGAUGAAGGUCUUCGGAUCGUAAAACUCUGUUAUUAGGGAAGAACAUAUGUGUAAGUAACUGUGCACAUCUUGACGGUACCUAAUCAGAAAGCCACGGCUAACUACGUGCCAGCAGCCGCGGUAAUACGUAGGUGGCAAGCGUUAUCCGGAAUUAUUGGGCGUAAAGCGCGCGUAGGCGGUUUUUUAAGUCUGAUGUGAAAGCCCACGGCUCAACCGUGGAGGGUCAUUGGAAACUGGAAAACUUGAGUGCAGAAGAGGAAAGUGGAAUUCCAUGUGUAGCGGUGAAAUGCGCAGAGAUAUGGAGGAACACCAGUGGCGAAGGCGACUUUCUGGUCUGUAACUGACGCUGAUGUGCAGAAGCGUGGGGAUCAAACAGGAUUAGAUACCCUGGUAGUCCACGCCGUAAACGAUGAGUGCUAAGUGUUAGGGGGUUUCCGCCCCUUAGUGCUGCAGCUAACGCAUUAAGCACUCCGCCUGGGGAGUACGACCGCAAGGUUGAAACUCAAAGGAAUUGACGGGGACCCGCACAAGCGGUGGAGCAUGUGGUUUAAUUCGAAGCAACGCGAAGAACCUUACCAAAUCUUGACAUCCUUUGACAACUCUAGAGAUAGAGCCUUCCCCUUCGGGGGACAAAGUGACAGGUGGUGCAUGGUUGUCGUCAGCUCGUGUCGUGAGAUGUUGGGUUAAGUCCCGCAACGAGCGCAACCCUUAAGCUUAGUUGCCAUCAUUAAGUUGGGCACUCUAAGUUGACUGCCGGUGACAAACCGGAGGAAGGUGGGGAUGACGUCAAAUCAUCAUGCCCCUUAUGAUUUGGGCUACACACGUGCUACAAUGGACAAUACAAAGGGCAGCGAAACCGCGAGGUCAAGCAAAUCCCAUAAAGUUGUUCUCAGUUCGGAUUGUAGUCUGCAACUCGACUACAUGAAGCUGGAAUCGCUAGUAAUCGUAGAUCAGCAUGCUACGGUGAAUACGUUCCCGGGUCU
Molecule: ribosomal RNA, 1372 nt
Filed under: uncultured bacterium
Lineage: Bacteria
Description: bacterial SSU rRNA
Rfam family: Bacterial small subunit ribosomal RNA
Source: RNAcentral